This 292-nucleotide ribosomal RNA is filed under the name uncultured Pseudomonas sp. RNAcentral describes it as "partial 16S ribosomal RNA". It matches the Rfam family "Bacterial small subunit ribosomal RNA", at positions 1093 to 1382 of the family's 1533-position model. The record is from RNAcentral. Lineage: Bacteria; Pseudomonadati; Pseudomonadota; Gammaproteobacteria; Pseudomonadales; Pseudomonadaceae.
CGAGCGCAACCCUUGUCCUUAGUUACCAGCACGUUAUGGUGGGCACUCUAAGGAGACUGCCGGGUGACAAACCGGAGGGAAGGUGGGGAUGACGUCAAGUCAUCAUGGCCCUUACGGCCUGGGCUACACACGUGCUACAAUGGUCGGUACAAAGGGUUGCCAAGCCGCGAGGUGGAGCUAAUCCCAUAAAACCGAUCGUAGUCCGGAUCGCAGUCUGCAACUCGACUGCGUGAAGUCGGAAUCGCUAGUAAUCGUGAAUCAGAAUGUCACGGUGAAUACGUUCCCGGGCCUU